This is a long non-coding RNA of Limulus polyphemus (Atlantic horseshoe crab), 255 nucleotides long. RefSeq lists it as uncharacterized. NCBI's taxonomy places the organism in Eukaryota, Metazoa, Arthropoda, Merostomata, Xiphosura, Limulidae. The record is from RefSeq and is a predicted model, not a curated record. The transcript has 3 exons.
CAGGAUCAUCGUGGUAACUCCAGUCCUAAAGAGAUAAAGAAGAUGUCAAUUUCCCGCUUAGCUUUGGUGGCUUGUGCCUUGGUAGUCGUUAGUGCUGCUCCUCAGGAAGGCAAUCCUGCUCCUCCUCAAAUCAACUGGGGUAAAUGCUCGCAGCUAGAACCAUCAACUCAAGAAAAGGAAACCAAGCAAAAGGUGAUAAGUCAAUGUCUCCAGGAAAACCCUCCACCUAAACCUGAAGACACUCCUCAAGUAAGA